Molecule: ribosomal RNA, 578 nt
Filed under: uncultured archaeon
Lineage: Archaea
Description: bacterial SSU rRNA
Rfam family: Archaeal small subunit ribosomal RNA
Source: RNAcentral
ACGGGGUGCAGCAGGCGCGAAACCUCGUCCAUGCACGAAAGUGUGAACGGGCAAACCCGAGUGCCACCCGUCGUGGUGGCUUUUCUGGAGCGUAAACAACUCCAGGAAGAAGGAGAGGACAAGACUGGUGCCAGCCCCCGCGGUAAAACCAGCUCUUCGAAUGGUAGGCGUGUUUAUUGGGCCUAAAGCGAUCGUAGCCGGGCUUGCAAGUUCCCAGAUAAAGCUCACGUCUUAAGCGUGAAAUCCCUGGGGAUACUACAAGCCUUGGGACCGGGAUAGGGCAAGGGUACGUGUCCGGUAGGGGUGAAAUCCGAUAAUCGGACACGGACCACCGGUGGCGAAGGCGCUUGCCUGGAACGGGUAAAUCUGAGCGUGAUGCUCAGGUUCCGGAACCGACGGUGAGGGUCGAAAGCCAGGGUAGCGAGCCGGAUUAGAUACGGAAUAUCAGAACGAUAUCCCGCUGAAAACCCGGGUAGUCCUGGCUGUAAACGAUGCGGAUUAGGUGUAGCGGUGCACGCGAAGCAUCGCUGUGCCGAAGCGAAGGCGUUAAAUCUGCCGCCUGGAAGUACGCUCGCAAG